CAUGAGCCCCGCCGUGCCGUGAGGCCGCGGGCCUAAAGACGGGUGCAGCAGUCGUUCAUCUCGUUGGACAAAAUGCCUCGCUUGACCGGAUGGAGUGCCUCCGAUGAGCCACCCACCCGCAGCACAUAACAUUCCGAAUCCGAGAGCACGGGCGAAGAGCCUCGUGCGCCGAGGCAGCCAUGCAACUGGGCUAGGCGUGCCGGGGACACGAGGCUUGCCUGGCGUCCGACCCACCACCCGUGAGGGCAUGGGACGGAGAUAAACAAACGAGCCAUCGAAUU
Molecule: unclassified non-coding RNA, 281 nt
Filed under: Canarium globosum
Lineage: Eukaryota; Viridiplantae; Streptophyta; Magnoliopsida; Sapindales; Burseraceae
Description: partial external transcribed spacer
Source: RNAcentral